GGUUCGAUUCUGGGCUCGGAUUGAACGCUGGCGGGAUGCUUUACACAUGCAAGUCAACGGCAGCACGGACUUCGGUCUGGUGGCGAGUGGCGAACGGGUGAGUAAUGUAUCGGAACGUGCCUAGUAGUGGGGAUAAUCGACAGCAGUAGCUAAUACCAUGUUGCCCUUCGGGGGAAAGCGGGGACCUUCGGGCCUCGCACUAUUAGAGCGGCUGAUAUCGGAUUAGCUAGUUGGUGGGGCAACGCUCACCAAGGCGACGAUCCGCAGUUGGUUUGAGAGGACGAUCAGCCACACUGGGACUGAGAUGACGGCCCAGACUCCAUGAGGCAGCAGUGGGAAUUUUGGGACAAUGGGAAACCCUGAUCCAGCCAUCCCGCGUGUGCGAUGAAGGCCUUCGGUUGGUAAAGCACUUUGGGUAAAAGAAAUGCGUAUUGAUACCCCGUGCAACUGAUGAAAAUUGCAGAAUAAGCACCGGCCACCAUUGCGCCAGCAGCCGCGGUAAUAUUGUGGUGGUGCAAGCGUUAAUCGGAAUAUUUUGGGCGUAAAGCGUGGCAAGUAAUUAAAAGAAAGAUGCAAAUCCCAGAGCUUAACUCUGAACUGCAUUUUUAACUACCGAGCUAGAGUGUGUCAGAGGGAGGUGGAAUUCGCAUAAGGGGAAAAUGCAGAUAUGCGGAGGAACACCGAUGGCAAGGGCAGCCCCUGGGAUAACACCGACGCUCAUGCACGAAAGCGUGGGGAGCAAACAGGACGAUACCCUGGUAGUCCACGCCCUAAACGAUGUCAACUAGUUGCUAGCUCGGCCUUGGUAGCGCAGCUAACGGGUGCUGACCGCCUGUGAGUGACGAAUGCAAGAUUAAAACUCAAAGGAAUUGACGGGGACCCGCACAAGCGGUGGAUGAUGUGGAUUAACGGAUGCAACGCGAAAACCUUACCUACCCUGACAUGUCUGGAAUCCCGAAGAGAUUUCAGAGGUUUUAAGAGAACCGAACACAGGUGCUGCAUGGCUGUCGUCAGCUCGUGUCGUGAGUGUUGGGUUAAGUCCCGCAACGAGCGAACCCUUGUCAUUAGUUGCUACGAAAGGGCACUCUAAUGAGACUGCCGGUGACAAACCGGAGGAAGGUGAUGACGUCAGUUCCCGCGCCCUUAUGGGUAGGCUUCACACGUCAUACAAUGGUCGGGACAGAGGGUCGCCAACCCGCGAGGGGGAGCUAAUCCCAGAAACCCGAUCGUAGUCCGGAUCGCAGUCUGCAACUCGACUGCAGAAGUCGGAAUCGCUAGUAAUCGCGGAUCAGCAUGUCGCGGUGAAUACGCUCCCGGGUCGUCUUGUACCGCCCGUCACACCAUGGGAGUGGGUUUUACCAGAAGUAGUUAGGCCUGAAACUGCAAGGAGGGCGAUUACUACUGGUAGGAUUCAUGACUGGGGUGAAGUCGUACGGCA
RNAcentral lists this ribosomal RNA (1438 nucleotides) under uncultured Bordetella sp. RNAcentral's name for it is "partial 16S-23S ribosomal RNA intergenic spacer". It matches the Rfam family "Bacterial small subunit ribosomal RNA". The record is from RNAcentral. Lineage: Bacteria; Pseudomonadati; Pseudomonadota; Betaproteobacteria; Burkholderiales; Alcaligenaceae.